This 400-nucleotide ribosomal RNA is filed under the name uncultured bacterium. Its description in RNAcentral is "bacterial SSU rRNA". It matches the Rfam family "Bacterial small subunit ribosomal RNA", at positions 356 to 773 of the family's 1533-position model. The record is from RNAcentral.
GGGGAAUAUUGCACAAUGGGGGAAACCCUGAUGCAGCAACGCCGCGUGAGUGAUGAAGUAUUUCGGUAUGUAAAGCUCUAUCAGCAGGGAAGAAAAUGACGGUACCUGACUAAGAAGCCCCGGCUAACUACGUGCCAGCAGCCGCGGUAAUACGUAGGGGGCAAGCGUUAUCCGGAUUUACUGGGUGUAAAGGGAGCGUAGACGGCACUGCAAGUCUGGAGUGAAAGCCCGGGGCUCAACCCCGGGACUGCGUUGGAAACUGUGGUGCUGGAGUGCAGGAGAGGUAAGUGGAAUUCCUAGUGUAGCGGUGAAAUGCGUAGAUAUUAGGAGGAACACCAGUGGCGAAGGCGGCUUACUGGACUGUAACUGACGUUGAGGCUCGAAAGCGUGGGGAGCAAAC